UAGGGAAUCUUCCACAAUGGACGCAAGUCUGAUGGAGCAACGCCGCGUGAGUGAAGAAGGCUUUCGGGUCGUAAAACUCUGUUAUUGAAGAAGAACGUGUGUGACAGUAACUGGUCAUGCAGUGACGGUAUUCAAUCAGAAAGUCACGGCUAACUACGUGCCAGCAGCCGCGGUAAUACGUAGGUGGCAAGCGUUGUCCGGAUUUAUUGGGCGUAAAGCGAGUGCAGGCGGUCUUUUAAGUCUGAUGUGAAAGCCUUCGGCUUAACCGAAGAAGGGCAUCGGAAACUGGG
RNAcentral lists this ribosomal RNA (290 nucleotides) under uncultured bacterium. RNAcentral describes it as "partial 16S ribosomal RNA". It matches the Rfam family "Bacterial small subunit ribosomal RNA", at positions 355 to 637 of the family's 1533-position model. The record is from RNAcentral.